Molecule: ribosomal RNA, 537 nt
Filed under: uncultured bacterium
Lineage: Bacteria
Description: bacterial SSU rRNA
Rfam family: Bacterial small subunit ribosomal RNA
Source: RNAcentral
ACGGGUGAGUAACGCGUGGGAAUGUACCUUUUGGUUCGGAAUAACGAUGGGAAACUGUCAGUAAUACCGGAUACGCCCUUCGGGGGAAAGAUUUAUCGCCAAAAGAGCAGCCCGCGUUAGAUUAGGUAGUUGGUAGGGUAAAAGCCUACCAAGCCGACGAUCUAUAGCUGGUCUGAGAGGAUGAUCAGCCACACUGGGACUGAGACACGGCCCAGACUCCUACGGGAGGCAGCAGUGGGGAAUAUUGGACAAUGGGGGAAACCCUGAUCCAGCAGUGCCGCGUGAGUGAUGAAGGCCUUCGGGUUGUAAAGCUCUUUUGUCAGGGACGAUGACGACGGUACCUGACGAAUAAGCUCCGGCUAACUUCGUGCCAGCAGCCGCGGUAAUACGAAGGGAGCUAGCGUUGUUCGGAAUUACUGGGCGUAAAGGGCGCGUAGGCGGUAUCAUAAGUCAGAUGUGAAAGCCCUGGGCUUAACCUAGGAGGUGCAUUUGAUACUGUGAAACUAGAGAUCGAGAGAGGAAAGUGGAAUUACGAGU